UAAUUGAAGGGCCGCGGUAUUUUGACCGUGCGAAGGUAGCAUAAUCAAUAACCUUUUAAUUGAAGGUUUGUAUGAAUGGUUGGACGAGAAAUAAACUGUUUUUUAUUUAAAAUUUAAAUUUAACUUUUAAGUGAAAAGGCUUAAAUUUUAUAAAAAGACGAUAAGACCCUAUAAAUCUUUAUAUUAUAWUAAAAUUAAAGUAAUUUAUAAGUGAAACUCUUUUUAUUUUGGAUAAUAUUGUGUUGGGGCGACAUAGAUAUUUAAUUAACUGUUUAAAAUUUUUACAAUAUAUAAUUGAUUAWAUUUUAAAGAUCCUUAUUAUAGAUUAUAAGAUUAAGUUACUUUAGGGAUAACAGCGUUAUUUUAUUUAAGAGUUCUUAUCGAAAAUAAAGUUUGCGACCUCGAUGUUGAAUUAAAAUUUCUUUGUGGUGCAGCAGCU
This 439-nucleotide ribosomal RNA is filed under the name Areopaguristes hewatti. RNAcentral describes it as "partial 16S ribosomal RNA". It matches the Rfam family "Archaeal large subunit ribosomal RNA", at positions 2000 to 2634 of the family's 2987-position model. Lineage: Eukaryota; Metazoa; Arthropoda; Malacostraca; Decapoda; Diogenidae. The record is from RNAcentral.